AACAAACGCUGGCGGCGUGCCUAAUACAUGCAAGUCGAACGGGGAAAGUAGCAAUAUGAGUACUAGUGGCGCACGGGUGAGUAACGCGUGGAUAAUCUGCCUUGAAGAGGGGGAUAACUAGUCGAAAGAUUAGCUAAUACCGCAUAAGACCACAAGAACUGAGGUUCAAGGGGUCAAAGGUUUUUCGCUUCAAGAUGAGUCCGCGUAAGAUUAGCUAGUUGGUGAGGUAAUGGCUCACCAAGGCAACGAUCUUUAACUGGUCUGAGAGGAUGAUCAGUCACACUGGAACUGGGACACGGUCCAGACUCCUACGGGAGGCAGCAGUAGGGAAUAUUGCACAAUGGAGGAAACUCUGAUGCAGCGACGCCGCGUGAGUGAUGAAGGCCUUCGGGUCGUAAAGCUCUGUCGCAGGGGAAUAACACAAUGAAUGUACCCUGUAAGAAAGGAUCGGCUAACUUCGUG
RNAcentral lists this ribosomal RNA (462 nucleotides) under uncultured bacterium. RNAcentral's name for it is "partial 16S ribosomal RNA". It matches the Rfam family "Bacterial small subunit ribosomal RNA", at positions 29 to 507 of the family's 1533-position model. The record is from RNAcentral.